Molecule: long non-coding RNA, 533 nt
Filed under: Lathyrus oleraceus (garden pea)
Lineage: Eukaryota; Viridiplantae; Streptophyta; Magnoliopsida; Fabales; Fabaceae
Description: Pisum sativum (pea) long non-coding RNA (PSAT_LNC002880)
Source: RNAcentral
GCAAACACUGGUUUAGGUUCUUUUGCACACUUAUGUACUUCUUCUCUCUUCAUCCACCUAUUAUUACUUCUUUGAUUGUAUUUGUUUCUUACCACCUGAGCAUAUGACGUUUGGUCAUCUUUUGCAUGCAUGCCUCAUUUUUGACAUUGUUGAUUUUCCAUGAAGGAUGCUGGACUCUUUUGUGAGUUCACCACCUCCUCAUUGUUCAUUCUUUCCUGAUGAUAUAUGUUCCUUCUUCCCACAAUCCCUCUUUCGUCCCUGCUCCCCCUAUGAUGGCUUAGAACAUUUGCAUAAAUCUUCUUAUUUCCUAAGAUAAUAUUGUCUAAUUUUACUGCUAUAAUCCUUACAUCUUCGACAUUUUUUAAUCUAACAAACCUAUAUCGCUUUCCUCUCUUGUCUUUCUUUGGUUGGAUCACUACUUUAUUGGUUUCCCCGAAAUCCUUGAAUAUUGAGUAUAUCUCCUUUGCUCCAAAUGCAUAUGGAACUUAUGUAAAGAAAAAUGUUGAAGUUUUAUACUUUUCUCCACGUUUUCU